GAUGAACGCUGGCGGCGUGCCUAAUACAUGCAAGUCGAGCGAACGGACGAGAAGCUUGCUUCUCUGAUGUUAGCGGCGGACGGGUGAGUAACCCGUGGAUAACCUACCUAUAAGACUGGGAUAACUUCGGGAAACCGGAGCUAAUACCGGAUAAUAUUUUGAACCGCAUGGUUCAAAAGUGAAAGACGGUCUUGCUGUCACUUAUAGAUGGAUCCGCGCUGCAUUAGCUAGUUGGUAAGGUAACGGCUUACCAAGGCAACGAUGCAUAGCCGACCUGAGAGGGUGGUCGGCCACCCUGGAACUGAGACACGGUCCAGACUCCGACAGGGAGCAGCAGUAGGGAAUCUUCCGCGAUGGACGAAAGCCUGACGGAGCAACGCCGCGUGAGUGAUGAAGGACUUCGGAUCGUAAAACGCUGUUAGUAGGGAAGAACAAAUGUGUAAGUAACUGUGCAGAUCUUGACGGUACCUAAUCAAGAAGCCACGGCUAACUACGUG
RNAcentral lists this ribosomal RNA (497 nucleotides) under uncultured bacterium. Its description in RNAcentral is "partial 16S ribosomal RNA". It matches the Rfam family "Bacterial small subunit ribosomal RNA", at positions 28 to 507 of the family's 1533-position model. The record is from RNAcentral.